Molecule: ribosomal RNA, 245 nt
Filed under: uncultured bacterium
Lineage: Bacteria
Description: partial 16S ribosomal RNA
Rfam family: Bacterial small subunit ribosomal RNA (bases 32-245)
Source: RNAcentral
AUGGGGUUAGUAUUGGGAUUCUUGAAUAGGGAAGCGUGUACAGGUAGGUACAAUAAAGUACAAUAAUUGAAAACUAACUUUUUGAGUUUUAUCUUAUUGUAUUUUAAUCUUGAGGAAUAUAGAAGUUUGAGGAAUAUAUGAUAGAGGGAUAAAAUUCUUAGAAAUCAGUUGGAAUAAUAAUAGGCGACAGCAUCAUUCUAUAUAUUUCCUGACACUGACGCACUAAAGUGUAGGUAGCAAAAAGG